GUGAGGAAUUUUCCGCAAUGGGCGAAAGCCUGACGGAGCAAUGCCGCGUGAAGGAUGAGGGCCUAUGGGUUGUAAACUUCUUUUCUUAGCGAAGAAUAUUGACGGUAUCUGAGGAAUAAGCAUCGGCUAACUCUGUGCCAGCAGCCGCGGUAAGACAGAGGAUGCAAGCGUUAUCCGGAAUGAUUGGGCGUAAAGCGUCUGUAGGUGGCUUCAAAAGUCUCCUGUCAAAGAUCAGGGCUUAACCCUGGGCCGGCAGGAGAAACUCUGAGGCUAGAGUUUGGUAGGGGCAGAGGGAAUUCCCGGUGGAGCGGUGAAAUGCGUAGAGAUCGGGAGGAACACCAAAGGCGAAAGCACUCUGCUGGGCCACAACUGACACUGAGAGACGAAAGCGAGGGGAGCAAAAGGGAUUAGAUACCCGAGUAGUCC
Molecule: ribosomal RNA, 426 nt
Filed under: uncultured bacterium
Lineage: Bacteria
Description: partial 16S ribosomal RNA
Rfam family: Bacterial small subunit ribosomal RNA
Source: RNAcentral